This 692-nucleotide long non-coding RNA is filed under the name Zostera marina. RNAcentral's name for it is "long non-coding RNA (ZMAR_LNC006045)". Lineage: Eukaryota; Viridiplantae; Streptophyta; Magnoliopsida; Alismatales; Zosteraceae. The record is from RNAcentral.
GCGUUUUUCUAUUUUAUUUUUCCCACUCAUAGCUUAAAUAGUUGAUUAAAUUCUAUUCGAUCUCAAUGCUUAAUUUAAACCCUACACUUCCACUAAAAUCCCAACUAGCUAUCAAAGAUUCAAAGGGUUUAUCAUAAUUCGUAAAUCACAAUAUCAUCAAAAAUCAGCAUUUGUGAAUUUGAUCUUGCUGACGUGAUUGUACACCAGUUACUCACAUCAACAGAGAUUAAGGUUUCGUUCGUUUUAUGUCGACCUCCGGAAGGCUCCCACGAAAGCGAAACUAAAAGUCUACGUCGAGACACGAGUCAACUUUUCAAAUCACGGCCGAUUGCGGUCUGCCAAAUCGUCAAUUGGGGUGGCAGACCGUCGAUCGAUCUUCCCUCUGAACCCGUCGAUUUCACCCUCAACUCGCGACGGUUACACUUCUCAAAUCGCCGAUUUCAACCAUUACUCGCGUCCAGCUCGAGCCAUAAUGGUCGUCGUACACUACAAGAAAACAAAACUUUAAAGACGGGUUUAGCGACGGAUUCUGACCGUCUCUAAAUCUGAAGAAGGAUUUCGUGGAAAUUCCACGAUGCUAAAGAUGGCUUGCAGUUAGGUUGACGACGGUUUCUCCGAUGAAUCGUCGACGGCCUUGACAUUUAGAGACGACUUUUUAGUAAGCCGUCCUUAUAUAUUUCGAGGUUUUUUUG